RNAcentral lists this ribosomal RNA (253 nucleotides) under uncultured bacterium. Its description in RNAcentral is "partial 16S ribosomal RNA". It matches the Rfam family "Bacterial small subunit ribosomal RNA", at positions 524 to 776 of the family's 1533-position model. The record is from RNAcentral.
UACGAAGGGGGCUAGCGUUGCUCGGAAUCACUGGGCGUAAAGGGUGCGUAGGCGGGUCUUUAAGUCAGGGGUGAAAUCCUGGAGCUCAACUCCAGAACUGCCUUUGAUACUGAGGAUCUUGAGUUCGGGAGAGGUGAGUGGAACUGCGAGUGUAGAGGUGAAAUUCGUAGAUAUUCGCAAGAACACCAGUGGCGAAGGCGGCUCACUGGCCCGAUACCGACGCUGAGGCACGAAAGCGUGGGGAUCAAACAGG